GUUUUAGCUUUCCGGCUGGUUUCGGUCAAAAAGGAGGAGGUAGCGCCAAACCAAACCCCCGAUGAAAGAUAAAAGCUAUGUCGGCGGGAGUUCUCUGUAGUCUGUAGUCGCUCUAAAAUUCUCAGUUCAUUGAUUCCAAAUUCCACCUAUUAUGCUUUAACCUCUUCAAUCGGUUCACGUAUGUAAGAAUUCACCUCAAUUUCAUCUCAUAUAUGCAUAUAAUUUGCUUUUAUGUAGAGUAAUUAGUGUUUUGUUUUGGAUUAUGAUUGAGUGGUAUGUUUUAAUUCUGCUUGCAUGAAUUAAAGAUGCUGAAUUUUUAUUUUUUUUGUUGUGGGUUUGAUUUUUUUGAUUAGAUCGAUCAUAUUUUGGAGAGGAAAUGCCCUGUUUUGAUUGGGUUGGAUGCUGAUUGUAUACUGUUUGGGCUGAGAAACAACAAUUUGUUUCGCUUUUUUCGAUUGGGAUAUUGAGAUGGAUUUGGUUUCUAGUUGCAAGGUAUUUGAUUUCCUCAGUUACUGCACUUAUAUGCUUUUUUAGUUGGUUAUAAGAUUAAGAGGCAUGCCCUUGUUGCUACAGUAAACUUGUUCAAUAUUACAGUUUGUAGAUUCUUUUUAGCUGAACAACUUAGUUUUUUGAAAUUACACUUUUGUUUUCGCUUAAACUAUUUUUAUUUAAGAUUACUAGUUGGAGUUGGCUGAAAUUAUUAGUUGUCUGAUUGGUUGAGUAAAAUGACUACUGUGCACUGAUAUGCAAUGAGAGCUUUUAUUAAAGAGUUUCUUAUUUCCAAGUGGGUUUUGAUUCGUUGUAGAAUCCAGUGUUGAGGGAGUUUAUUUUCGUUGUUCAAUUGUAAUGUGUACACCCUAUGGAUUCAUUGCAGAUUUAUGUUGAUUGAGUGUAUUUUUUUUGUUUAAUUGUAAUGCGCGAUGAUAUGAGUGUAUUUUUUUCGGUUAACUGUAACGCAUGAUAAUCUAGUAACGUUCUUGAAGCUUAAGGUAAGUUUGAUUUUUAUGGAGCCAAACAUAUGUUGAGGCAGUUCCAUGUAUAUCAAAAUUCAUGUUGGUUCGGGUUUGGCAAUUAAUUUCUCUUUUCCACUAAUAUUAAAGUCCAAGUUUCUAUUUCCUAAUGCUUGGCUUUGGAAGGGUGAAAAGUUCUGUUGGAAGUGAGCAAUCAUAUCUGUUUUUUAGGAUCUAGAGCGUACUGUUCGGCUUUUUGGAAAUGGCUAUUUAUCUUUCACUUUGUUGCGGGAUAUGAUCUUUUUCUCCACUUCUUUAUAGGCCUCUUCUAUGGGUGCUUUUAGGGAAUUUCUGAUCUUCAUAGAUAUUGGAGAGCUGCUUGUUUUUAUUAUUUUAAUUUUUUCACUUCUUAUAGUGGUGGACUGCACUUGUAUUUUCUCUUUUUCGUCUAAUAAAAUUUCUUCUUUUAUCAAUUUUUUCUCUAUUUCUUAAUUGGCUUAUUAACAAUCAAUUAAAUGCAUUUCUGUGUUUUCCUUCUUGAAUAUUUUGAAAAUGGAAUGGAUUCUUGGUAAGGUAAAUAAUACUUGACAACGGAGUGUAAUUUCUCUUUGAUAUUACUUAAUGAACUUAGAAAUAAAUUACUUCAUGAUUACUACUUUAAAAAAACAAUAUUUACUUUAUGAUUUGUGAGUAAAGCUUUACCAUGGAUGCAUUUUCUUCCCUAUUAAAAUGUAAGUGAUGUGUUGAUCAGUUUUAUUUGUCAUGUGUGUCCAUUAUGAACAUACAUUUUCGGAUGUUGAGUGUCUUAAUAUAUCUUGUGACUAGUUAUGAACCUGAUAUUUUUGAUCUGGCACUGGGGAAGAUUCUAACUUAUAUGUUUAUUCCUAAAUUCAACAGUAUCAAACACGGCAAUUUUGUGUCUGGCAUAGUUACUUAUCAGCAUAAUUUCUUCAGUACUGUAUUUGACGCAGAAUAUGAUAAAGGGAGAAAAUGAGAAGUUACAUGGAGCAUUUUUUGGAUUCCGGCAUUCAAGUACAACAAAAGUUUAUCGAUUUUUUACAUUAUUCUAGGUUAGGUAUGUUGUAGUAGUGAGGUUUCAUUAUUGGCAGGUAUCCGGUUUUAAAGAUACGGGCUAAAGGAUUUUAGCUCUAGGUAAUUUUGUGUAUGCGCAUGAACUCUAGAGUGGCUCAUUGUAAUAGUGGCUUUGGUUUAUGACUCUCGGUGUCGGUUUAUAUCAUUGGAGACUGAAACUUUCUAAUUUUGAAGUUCUUUAUUGUUGAUUCUUAGUUUUAUUUUUUUAUAUCUAGGCACUUACUUAGUUUCCUACAAAUAACAAUUAUAUAAGGGUAGCGAUUUUGACUCUUCUGUUUUAUGGCAUGUGAACUAUUACUGUAAAUCUUUUAGAUUUUAUGGGGGUGGUAUUGUCUUUGAAUAUGAUGAAUAGAGAUGGGCCAUGGUGGUUGCCGUUAAUAAAAAGAGUGCCAAAAUCACCAAGUGCUUCAGUUAUCUAUUCUUUUGGAGUUAUGUAGUGUGAAGUCGAGUACUUGAGAUUUAAGUUACUGGUCCAUGAUGAGUCCUACUAAUUCCAAGUUCUUCAAUUGCUGAUCACAACCAUUGCCUUAAGAAACGUUCACUAAAAGAACAUUAAGUAACAGGGUUUUGGGAUGCCAGAAUAUUACUGUUACAACAGCGAUACUGGAUUUUACUGUCAUAACAGCAGUUACACUCUACAGACUGUUACAUCCAUUACCAUGUCGUAGUGAUGGUUUCGGUGAGAAUUAUUAAAUACUGUAUAAAUAUUUCUAUUUUACCUAAUUUCUUUUAUCACAACAGCACUACCCUUCUCAAAAUCAUGUGAAAUUGAGGUAGUAAUAGAAAUUUAUAAUUGUCUCCAAUCUACUCAAAGUUUGAACUUGAUAUAGGAUCUAGAGUUUAGAAUGUUGACCAAAAGUUCCAUUUCUUUAAAUAACAAAGGAAACAUUUCUUCUUUACAAAUUUGUACAUGAUUAACUCAAUGAUAAUUUCUAUUUGGAGUUUGGUCAGAUUAUUUGUUGGUUAAAUUCUAAUCUUAACCAUUUGCAACAGUAAUUCUUGGUUGCAAUUAAUAAUCAUAAUAAAUUGUUAAAAGAUAGAAAUCAUAGAGUUAGUAUUGUUUAUUCAUUUUGGCAAAUUUUAAACCAAAAUAGGUAUACAAAAUCAUGUUAAUAAUUAACAAAAGCAUGAGUACCAGUAAAAAUCAUAAUUACAUGAUAAGGCUCAAUGUCAGGAAAGGUCUUCACCGUAAAAUCCACUGGAGCUCCGACCAGAUAAACUUUUUUACCCAACAGUUCCUUUUCACAUCUGUCUCAUUUCAGUGGCCAUGGAUGAUAUGUCGAGGGUUUGGGUGGACUAAUUUUAUUUUCUCUGGUACACAAUAGUGCCUUUUCACAUCUUUCUCAUUUCAGCAGUCAUGGACGAAAUUAUAUUUAAUAAUUUUCCGGUACAACAGUGUUGACUUUGACAUUUUCCUUAAAUAUUUCACCGUCUUUAGUUCUUUUUGUUGGGUUUGGUGAUUUCUAGGGUGAUGGCCGUGGGAGUAGAAUGGUUUCUUUUCAUGAGGUGGCAGCCUGCUAUCAGUUCCUCAUGAUGUAAGUAGUGAUAUUAAAAUUUUGAAUCGGGCAUUUCGUUUCUGUUAGGUCCAGAGGGAAUUGAGUGGAGGUUAAGGUUUUCAAAAUCUUGCUUAGUGAAUGUAUUUGAUGGGAAAUAUUGGGAAUCAGGGGUUUUAAUAGCAUAGAGAUGUAUAAAUGAACGACAACCGAGUGAUGGUGUCCACCCACCAAACAAUCGAUAUGCUGAGAAAAUUGUUCUCUAAAAUAUGGCGGUGCUUGUUCUUAUCAGAUUAUCAGGUGUUUAGUGAGAGAAAG
RNAcentral lists this long non-coding RNA (3853 nucleotides) under Panax ginseng (ginseng). Its description in RNAcentral is "long non-coding RNA (PGIN_LNC015771)". The record is from RNAcentral. Lineage: Eukaryota; Viridiplantae; Streptophyta; Magnoliopsida; Apiales; Araliaceae.